CAGCCCUAGGGAGGAGUAAUUCGCCCAGCUGGGCAGAGGCAAGGGGUAGAGGGCAGACUCGUAGAGAGAGUGGGGUUUGCUGUGGGUGGGCCGCUGCCUGCGUAGGCUUCAGUCGGCGGUGAUGCCACCGCUACCGCCCCAUCCUCGCGUUCCGUUAGCUAGACCUCCUACCCACCUUAAAGUUCGUCUUCCCGUUUUAGAUGUUGGAGUAGUUAUAGGGGCUCGCGUUCGAUCUUGACGUCAAAUCAAGAUGUCAAAGGCCGGGAUAAGGAGAGAAAAACAGCGCGUCCUUUUUAACCCUCGGAAGUGGUACCGGCGGUUAUAGGUAGAUGCCCAUGUAGAACGAGGGAAUGAUCGACAUGUUAUAAGAUCGGAUUACUACACAAAUAAUUAGGGGUUAAGUACCUAAGAACGAAGGAUAGGAAAGUUAAACAAGUACAUGGUCUAAGUUCCCCGUUAAUGGAGUGUGUAGAACUAGACAGUAGAGGAAAAAGGCUCAGUCCAAACUACUUCUAAACCUAUUGAUCUAUCUAAAUACACCUUUAAGACAUGUGAAGCGGGCUACUAAAAGCGCCCGUCCGCUAUCGAUGUAUACGUCGGUUUAAUUAAAUGGUACGUACAAGACGUUAAAAAGUAAAUUACCAAAAUAUAGCAUAUACCCAAUUACUAAAGGAAUAUAUAUUUACGAAUACUAUUCUAACACACGCAAACAUCUAUUCCGUAGUGCUUAUCGGUAUCAACUUAUUUUCGCAGUCCAUACUCGAUGAUGUAAAAAAAUUAACUAAUAUAUAACACUCUUAUCGAUCUCGCGAACACCGGUAUGACGAGGUACAGAAUACAUGUUAGUUAUAACAUAGUACUAACGUGACAUACGGUUCACUUAUACAUCAGGCGGAUCUAAUUACAAUCCUACGUCAUACACGCAAUACUAGGGUUGAUCUUUAACCUGUUCUUGACAAAAAAACCAGGCACUACCAAAAAAGAGAGUCAAUACAUUUAUGCACUUUAUAAACUUUCCACAAAAAUAAUAAAGUUCAUUACGCCAUAAAUCGUUAGGGUAAAGUAUCUUGAUAAAUGAAGGGGUAACGUUUUCACAGAUAAACUGUCCAUUCUUAUCUGUGCCAGAUCGUAGGUAAUCUACACUUGGGCUAAAGUCAAAACGGUUUACAGAAAUCUUGAAGUCAGUAGUGCAAUUAAUUGGGAAAAAUAGAGGUAUAUAUCCCGAUACAGACAGUCGUAAAAGUUGAAUACUUCGGCUGUUCGAUUGUAAGAAUAAAUAUUUACUUUUAUCACUUCGGAGAGGUACUGAAAACUCCCCUUUUUUCCAGCCGGAUGUACAAAGAAUCAAAACUUCCUAACGACGGCUGGCGUUCACAUAACCACCAGUAGAAUUCUAGAGUGGGCCUCGUCGUAGACAAAAGAUAGAGCGACAGUGGAUACGGAAUUCUUAAGGUCAAAUACGUAUAAACAACAUAAUCAAGAGUGCGACCUGUAAGUUGAAUACCAUAUAGAAGAAAGUACUAAUUUGAAACGGCCGGCAUAUCCUGCCCAAUAUGUUAGGAUACAACAUAACUUAGUUGAGGACACACAUCCUUGCAUCUGGUACCUUUUACGCCGUAUUGACUUUUUCUUGAUAAGACAUCCUAUGAAUGUGAAUCGGUGGUGAAUCGUCGAUUUGGAGCUCGCGAAUUUAUAAAAAACGUAAAAUUGUGUACCAAGAGUAUGAAUUAACCAACACUUCCAGUGUUGAUACAUGUCGACCAGUCACUUGAACCACCCAUUAUAUCUAGAAGGUUAAUUGUUUUAAACAACUUAAUUUACAUUUUGCUUAUAUCAAGGAAAAAUGUAAUAAAUAAUAAUACACCAAAAGGUCUAAAAAAACCAGAUCCAUCACUACUGAAGGAUUUAAACGAGUGGUAAAAAAAAGGAAGAAAACCAGAGCGUGUACAUUAGAAUUUCCUAACCUAAAUGUGGUUCCGUAUAGGUAGAGUGAUGUAAUCGGAGAGUUAACGAAAGUAACACCUUAUAUGUCACAUUAUGGAUAGACAAUGAAGGAGG
RNAcentral lists this ribosomal RNA (2058 nucleotides) under Triticum aestivum (bread wheat). RNAcentral's name for it is "partial small subunit ribosomal RNA". Lineage: Eukaryota; Viridiplantae; Streptophyta; Magnoliopsida; Poales; Poaceae. The record is from RNAcentral.